This 301-nucleotide ribosomal RNA is filed under the name uncultured bacterium. RNAcentral's name for it is "partial 16S ribosomal RNA". It matches the Rfam family "Bacterial small subunit ribosomal RNA", at positions 509 to 807 of the family's 1533-position model. The record is from RNAcentral.
CAGUAGCCGCGGUAAUACGGAGGAUCCAAGCGUUAUCCGGAAUCAUUGGGUUUAAAGGGUCCGUAGGCGGUCUUGUAAGUCAGUGGUGAAAGCCCAUCGCUCAACGGUGGAACGGCCAUUGAUACUGCAGGACUUGAAUUAUUGGGAAGUAACUAGAAUAUGUAGUGUAGCGGUGAAAUGCUUAGAGAUUACAUGGAAUACCAAUUGCGAAGGCAGGUUACUACCAAUUGAUUGACGCUGAUGGACGAAAGCGUGGGUAGCGAACAGGAUUAGAUACCCCAGUAGUCCAUGUCUCUUAUAC